GACGAACGCUGGCGGCAUGCCUAAUACAUGCAAGUCGAGCGAACGGAUGAAGUGCUUGCACUUCUGACGUUAGCGGCGAACGGGUGAGUAACACGUAAGGAAUCUACCUAUAAGCGGGGGAUAACAUUCGGAAACGGGUGCUAAUACCGCAUAAUAUCUUCUUCCGCAUGGAAGAAGAUUGAAAGACGGCUCUGCUGUCACUUAUAGAUGACCUUGCGGUGCAUUAGUUAGUUGGUGGGGUAAUGGCCUACCAAGACGAUGAUGCAUAGCCGAGCGGAGAGGGUGAUCGGCCGAAUUGGGACUGAGACCCGGCCCAAACUCCGACGGGAGGCAGCGGUAGGGAAUCUUCCGCAAUGGGCGAAAGCCGGACGGAGCAAGGCCGCGUGAGGGAAGAAGGCCUUCGGGUCGUAAAACUCUGUUAUAAGAGAAGAACAAAUUGUAGAGUAACUGCUACAGUCUUGACGGUAUCUUAUCAGAAAGCCACGGCUAACUACGUGCCAGCCGCCGCCGUAA
Molecule: ribosomal RNA, 513 nt
Filed under: uncultured bacterium
Lineage: Bacteria
Description: partial 16S ribosomal RNA
Rfam family: Bacterial small subunit ribosomal RNA
Source: RNAcentral